This 59-nucleotide microRNA precursor is filed under the name Panagrellus redivivus. RNAcentral describes it as "let-7 stem-loop (prd-let-7)". Its record names the gene prd-let-7. Lineage: Eukaryota; Metazoa; Nematoda; Chromadorea; Rhabditida; Panagrolaimidae. The record is from miRBase by way of RNAcentral.
UGAGGUAGUAGGUUGUAUAGUUUUUGAUUGUAUAAAAACUGUCAAUCUACUAACUUAAC